RNAcentral lists this long non-coding RNA (1760 nucleotides) under Ananas comosus (pineapple). RNAcentral's name for it is "long non-coding RNA (ACOM_LNC035525)". The record is from RNAcentral. Lineage: Eukaryota; Viridiplantae; Streptophyta; Magnoliopsida; Poales; Bromeliaceae.
GUGAAUGUAUUGGCAUUAAUCUCUGCAUUUGGAGCCUAAUAUCUAUAUACCGCUUGUUUAUCUCAAGAGUCGAAGUCAAUUUUAUUAUGGCUGUUGUUGCUUUAUAUCUUCAAAACAUUUGGGUGCAAAAGCUCAUUCUAAAUUUUCCAUCACCACGAAAGCUUCAAAACUCUCUGUUUGUCAAAUGCCUGCCUCCCACUUCUCAGAGCAGAGAGUUGUUCGAAGAAGCUAGGUCGGUCGACUUGUCGGUUUUGGAUGUUUGCUCCCUGUGAUCCAUACACUUAAAAAUUCUCCUCUUUUUUUGGUGUUUCGUAGGCACCGACGCGUAUCUUCAUCUGUCCCGGUUGGGGGAUUCGCAAGAGCCCUUGCCGUAGAGCAUGAAUGGUAAGCUUCCAUUUAUUUAUUAUCAUGUUCACUAGCUAGAUGCCUCCCUUGUUGCAUGCAUAAGUGCAUAAGGGAAAGGGGGGAGAAGGAUUUGUACAUUUGGUUUGUGUGUAGGAAAGAUGAUGAUUGAAAUGCUGCUUCACCUUGUAUUGUGGCAAGACUGCUUUGGUACCCAUUAGUGGUUCAAUUCAUGCUGCAACUGUUUCAAGAAGAAUUAACAGUUGUACAGGCUCACACACAGACUAGCUUUCUCUCUCUCUCUCAUUCACGAUUCUCUCUCACAUUCCCAGUUGCGCAUCUAUCUCUCUCUAAGUGAAAAAAGAAUAAAUAGUUGACAUUAGGAUUAUAUAUUAAUAAGAUUACUUUUAGGGCGCAUUUGGUUCAAGUUAUGUAAUAUUACAGAGUAUUUUGAUAUAUUCAGUUAUCUUAGAUUUCUAAAUAAAAUUACUACUUAUGCUGCAUCAGCGCGUUUGGUUUAAUACAGUAAUGUAAUGCUAGAUUGCAGUAUUUAUAGCAUUACUAUGUUUAGUUUUGUCUAUAAAAUUCAGUAAUCUAGACAAUAAAGUAGUAUAUUCUAUUCUAAAAUUAUAUUUAGCAAUAUUUUGCAAAUCUUUUUUUUACUAUUUACAAAUAAUAUUUUUUUUACUAAAUUUUAUUUUUUAUAGUUUAAUUUUUUAAAAUAUAAAAUUUAAAUUUGAACAAAAAUAUAAAUUUAAUAUUUUAAUUUAAAAUAUAAAUAUGAAAUCUAUAAAUUUAAAAUCUAAAAUAUGAAUAUAAAUAUAAAAAUAAAAAUAAAAAUAAAAUUAAAAUUAAAAAUACAAAUUUGAAUAUUAAAAUUUGAAAUUUUGAAAUUUAAAAUUUGAAAUUUAAAAUUUGAAAUUUAAAAUUCAAAUUUAAAAUUUAAAAUUUGAAGUUUAAAAUUUAAAAUUAAAAACUAAAAAAUUAAAAAUUUAGAAUUGAAAUUUAAAAUUUAGAAAUUUAAAAUCUAAAAUUUAAAUUCAAAUUUAAAAUUUAAAAUUUAAAUUUGAAGUUUAAAAAUUUAAAAAUUUAAAAUUUAAAAUUAAAAUUCAAAAUUUAAAAUUCAAAAGUUGACAAUUCAAAAUUUUAAAUUAAAAUUUUUAAAAUAACGUAUCGAAAGGGUUUCGGGAGUUAAGAGGGGUAAAAUUAUUAUUUUACAUAAUAGUCAGUGUUAUUGACUUUCAAUAAUUCAAAAUACACACCCAUCUCGCGUUAAUAUUUUUUGUACAGUUUUAUACCAUUUGUAAUGCUAUAUUACCGAUCUGAUUACAUACCGGAUGAACAAAAUACCGUAAUUCUACCGAGAUUGCUUGUAAUCCUGUCAAGAUAACUCGAACCAAACAUACCCUUAAUUCUUU